RNAcentral lists this long non-coding RNA (2163 nucleotides) under Nicotiana benthamiana. Its description in RNAcentral is "long non-coding RNA (NBEN_LNC027876)". Lineage: Eukaryota; Viridiplantae; Streptophyta; Magnoliopsida; Solanales; Solanaceae. The record is from RNAcentral.
UCUCUCACACUCUUAUCUUCAACAAAAAAUCGGAGGCCUUCCCCCUUGGUAGCUAGCCGUUGCUGAUGGUCUCAAAGAAGAAAUAGAGAGAAAGACUUUUCCCCAUGGAAAACCCCCAGAGUCGUCCAUAAUUCCCCCUUCUCUAACAAAAAACAGACCCGUCUUCAAGAACAAUUCCCCCCUUUAGACAAACGCUGGCCGCCUCCAAAAUUUCCUCUCUAAUCUAGCUCUCCUCUCAAUAUUUAUUCCGCAUUAGAUUCCCUCAUUUUCUUACCCAUUCUCAGAAAACUCUCAAAUUCCAUAUCUGAGGAAAACAACUCCGAAAACUAAAGAAAAAGUUCAAAAAAAGAGAGUCAAAAGUUGUUUUCAAUUUCAAUUGGUUGUUGCAUAUUUUCGGGGUUAAAAGCUUUUUUAAUCGAAGAAAUUACUGUUUGGUACUGGUCGAUUUUGCCAUGGAGUGCUGCCAUUGUUGUUGUUGUCACGUUGAGAUUCAUUCGGCCCUUUUGUCUAGCCUUUAUUUUGCGUUUUUAGUCAAUUCUCGCACAGCUAGGUAUGUAUUCCAACUUGCAUACCCAUAUUUGAUUUGUUAUGAGAUUAUGACCAUAGUAUUAACUUCUGAUGUCUCUUGAUUUGUUAUUGUGGAUCAUACUCCAUGAGCUAAUGUAUGAAACUUUCGUAUGUAUUGACUCCAAAAUCAAUAUGUUAUCAUGCCUUCAUUAGAUUAUUAUAUGCAAUAUAUACUACAUAGAUGUUAGGAAAGGAGAAACUCGUGAUUUUAAUGCUAAUGGCUUUGCAAACUUGUCCAUCACUGUUUUAGGUCAAUCAUUUAGGUUUAAAAUAGUGACAAAGGUGUUUGGUGUAAGUCUAUAUCGAAUAUUACAUGCUUUUGUUCUUUAUAAAAUUGGUGUGAAUAAAAUAUAUAUUUUACAAUUUUAUAACGACUCGGUCAGUCUUUUUAAGAAUUAAUGCCCUGAUACCCUAUUAACUACUUUUUCGUAUUUAUUUCUGCUAUUUUAAUUUGUCGGGAUGUUCGAUUUUGAGUUACGGAGAUUUUUGGGAUACUUAGUCCCGAAAUGAUAGCUUAAGUUUAGAAAUUUGACCGCAGUCAGAAUAGUGUGAAGACAAACUUGGAAUGGAAUUUCGAUGGUUUCGUUUGCUUUGUUGGGUGAUUUCAGGCUUAGGGGCGUGUUCGGAUUGUAUUUUGGAGGUCCGUAAUGUUUAAUGUGACGUGUGUACAAAAUUUCAGGUCAUUUGGACAAGGUUUGAUAGACUUUUUGGUCAAAAGCAUAAAUUUAGAGCUUUGAAGUUCUUAGGCUUGAAUCCAUAGUUGAUUUAUCGUUUCGAUGUUGUUUUAGGUGUUUUAAGGAUUGAUAUAAGUUUGGACAGUGGUAUUAGACUUGUUUGUGUUUUUGGUUGAGGUCUCGAGGGCCUCAGGAUGGUUUGGGAAGGAUACCAAGAGAUCCCGGGGAUACCAAGAGAUCCUCGGCAAUCAUCCAUGUUACAAGCGGUGUUUCCUUGUGUUUGCCUUUAUUUCUUUUUCUGUUAUUGUAUUCUUAUCAUCCUAUAUAGACUCUUACGGUAGAUUCUUAGAUAUACUAUUUAUCUUAACCUGUAAUUUUUAUUAUUAUUAUUUAUCUCAGUAGGGCCCUGACCUUCCUCGUCACUACCCGACCGGGGUUAGGCUUGUAACUUACUGAGUACCGAUAUGGUGUACUCAUGCCCUUUCUGCGCAUGUUUUUCAUAUGUAGAUCCAAGAACCUCUACCCAGGCUCAUCACUCUUGAGGUAGGGAGAUUCUUCGGAGACUUCGAGAUACAUCUUCAACGUCCACAGACCAAGGAGUCUCUAUCUUUAUUCUACCAUGUAGUGUUAGUUUUUCCAUCUCACUGUUAAUGUAGACAUUCUGGAGAUUAGAGCACUUUAAUGUAUUUCUUCUAGCUUGUGUUCUCCGUGAGUUUUCGAGUUUUGGGAUAGUGUUGUAAGAUUUUGAGAUGUUGAGCUGUAUAUGCUGAGUGAAAUCUUAUAUUUCGUUUUCUUUUGGUUAUUCUUGGCUUUAAAUUUAUAUUUUCACAAGUUUUGAUUAUUUUUCGCACUUGUUAGGCUUACCUAGUCGUAGAGACUAGGUGCCGUCAUGAGAGUUCACGGAGGGAAAACUAGGGUCGUG